ACGAACGCUGGCGGCGUGCUUAACCCAUGCAAGUCGCACGGAAAGGCCCUGCUUUUGUGGGGUGCUCGAAUGGCGAACGGGUGAGUAACACGUGAGUAACCUGCCCUUGACUUUGGGAUAACUUCAGGAAACUGGGGCUAAUACCGGAUAGGAGCUCCUGCUGCAUGGUGGGGGUUGGAAAGUUUCGGCGGUUGGGGAUGGACUCGCGGCUUAUCAGCUUGUUGGUGGGGUAGUGGCUUACCAAGGCUUUGACGGGUAGCCGGCCUGAGAGGGUGACCGGCCACAUUGGGACUGAGAUACGGCCCAGACUCCUACGGGAGGCAGCAGUGGGGAAUAUUGCACAAUGGGCGGAAGCCUGAUGCAGCAACGCCGCGUGCGGGAUGACGGCCUUCGGGUUGUAAACCGCUUUCGCCUGUGACGAAGCGUGAGUGACGGUAAUGGGUAAAGAAGCACCGGCUAACUACGUG
RNAcentral lists this ribosomal RNA (467 nucleotides) under uncultured bacterium. RNAcentral's name for it is "partial 16S ribosomal RNA". It matches the Rfam family "Bacterial small subunit ribosomal RNA", at positions 29 to 507 of the family's 1533-position model. The record is from RNAcentral.